Melitaea cinxia (Glanville fritillary) is the source of this 574-nucleotide long non-coding RNA. RefSeq lists it as uncharacterized. NCBI's taxonomy places the organism in Eukaryota, Metazoa, Arthropoda, Insecta, Lepidoptera, Nymphalidae. The transcript is spliced from 2 exons. The record is from RefSeq and is a predicted model, not a curated record.
ACAAGCGCGUUACCGGUCCUACCCCCGCGGACAAGACAGCGCAUCUUCAGGAGCGUUGUUUUGUGUUGCGGUGUUUGCCUCACCGCCGUGUGUAAGAGCUAGGUGAUAAUAUAAAUAUUUUGCAAAUUGUCUCCACCGCACGCGUGGUGUUCUUUUGAUUUUGUGGAACAGCGCAGAACACCUGCACACACAUAAAGGACGGCGCUUGCGCAGCUGUCCCUACGUCAUCGCGUAAUCCAAUUAUUGUAAUCGAUUAAUUGCAAACUGUCACCAUGACAACUGGGCUAGGACCGAAUUAUAGAUUAUAUUUUUAAUUUCAACAGUUAAUCCUAAAUUUUGUUAUUUAUUUUUUAAACGGUGCCGCGAUAUUAGGUAUAUGUCAAAGUAAGAAUGGCGCGAAUACUGUAAGAUAAGAUUUGGAAAUAAUUGUACAUCAUGACAAGAAUUAGAAUAUACUUGUGUCAUAGCCAUGAUCUGUUAUUUGUUUGUGGUAAUUUAUUAAAUAAAAUACUCCUUAACUACUUAAUGUUCUUGUAAUAAUGCAUGCGAUAUAGAAUAAAUCUUUUUUGGAUUU